GACGAACGCUGGCGGCGUGCUUAACACAUGCAAGUCGAACGGUGAAGCGCCUUCCUUUUUGGUGGGUGUGGAUGAGUGGCGAACGGGUGAGUAACACGUGAGUAACCUGCCCCCUUCUUCUGGAUAACCGCAUGAAAGUGUGGCUAAUACGGGAUAUUCUGGGUCUGUCGCAUGAUGGGUCUGGGAAAGAUAUUGUUUCGGUGGGGGAUGGGCUCGCGGCCUAUCAGCUUGUUGGUGGGGUGAUGGCCUACCAAGGCGGUGACGGGUAGCCGGCCUGGGAGGGUGGACGGUCACACUGGGACGGAGGCACGGCCCAGACUCCUACGGGAGGCAGCAGUGGGGAAGAUUGCACAAUGGGCGCAAGCCUGAUGCAGCGACGCCGCGUGAGGGAUGGAGGCCUUCGGGUUGUGAACCUCUUUCGCCAGUGAAGCAGGCCUGCCUCGUUUGUGGGUGGGUUGACGGUAGCUGGAUAAGAAGCGCCGGCUAACUACGUG
RNAcentral lists this ribosomal RNA (494 nucleotides) under uncultured bacterium. Its description in RNAcentral is "partial 16S ribosomal RNA". It matches the Rfam family "Bacterial small subunit ribosomal RNA", at positions 28 to 507 of the family's 1533-position model. The record is from RNAcentral.